UCGAGGGGUAUAGGUUUUCGGACCUAGAGACCGGCGCACGGGUGCGUAACGCGUAUGCAAUCUACCUUUCACAGAGGGAUAGCCCAGAGAAAUUUGGAUUAAUACCUCAUAGUAUGCAGAGUUGGCAUCAACCUUGCAUUAAAGUCACAACGGUGAAAGAUGAGCAUGCGUCCCAUUAGCUAGUUGGUAAGGUAACGGCUUACCAAGGCUACGAUGGGUAGGGGUCCUGAGAGGGAGAUCCCCCACACUGGUACUGAGACACGGACCAGACUCCUACGGGAGGCAGCAGUGAGGAAUAUUGGUCAAUGGGCGCAAGCCUGAACCAGCCAUGCCGCGUGCAGGAUGACGGUCCUAUGGAUUGUAAACUGCUUUUGUACGGGAAGAAACAACGAUUCGUGAAUCGUCUUGACGGUACCGUAAGAAUAAGGAUCGGCUAACUCCGUGCCAGCAGCCGCGGUAAUACGGAGGAUCCAAGCGUUAUCCGGAAUCAUUGGGUUUAAAGGGUCCGUAGGCGGUUUAGUAAGUCAGUGGUGAAAGCCCAUCGCUCAACGGUGGAACGGCCAUUGAUACUGCUAGACUUGAAUUAUUAGGAAGUAACUAGAAUAUGUAGUGUAGCGGUGAAAUGCUUAGAGAUUACAUGGAAUACCAAUUGCGAAGGCAGGUUACUACUAAUGGAUUGACGCUGAUGGACGAAAGCGUGGGUAGCGA
This 708-nucleotide ribosomal RNA is filed under the name uncultured Bacteroidota bacterium. RNAcentral describes it as "bacterial SSU rRNA". It matches the Rfam family "Bacterial small subunit ribosomal RNA", at positions 62 to 771 of the family's 1533-position model. The record is from RNAcentral. Lineage: Bacteria; Pseudomonadati; Bacteroidota.